Mesocricetus auratus (golden hamster) is the source of this 544-nucleotide long non-coding RNA. RefSeq lists it as uncharacterized. NCBI's taxonomy places the organism in Eukaryota, Metazoa, Chordata, Mammalia, Rodentia, Cricetidae. The record is from RefSeq and is a predicted model, not a curated record. The transcript is spliced from 3 exons.
GGAGAGCAGCUGAGGCUUGGCACUGUGUGGCAGGUUGGGGUACUUUAAGAGAGCCCAGGAAAUGCUAUUGAGUAAAAGUUCAGCCCAGCUGCAGCAAGAGACCCCAGCAUUUUGGAGAUACCAGUACUAUGGGAUGGCCACCAAGAAAAGCAGCAGCCUUGGAGUGGAGCCAGCCUGAACUUAGGAGACAAUCUGUGUGGGUUGUAGAGAGUAGAGCCAGAGAAGUGAUCCCAGCACUUUGUAGGAGACCAGAGGCGUUCCAUUGGACAGAAGACUCAUCUUGACUAUAACAGCUCUUAGCGACCUCAGCACACAAAUUUCCUGCUCCAUUUCCACAUUAAGCUGAAUAUCAGUGGAACUGGGAGGUGGCAACUCCUCGAGGUCACUUCUCAUGUUCAUUAGCAUUGUUUUAGGUUAAGGAAGGAGCCUGUUUUCCUUUCCUGAGCAAACAGGUGACUUUCAAGUAACUGGAAAGAAACAGCCAUCAGAGGAAGCAUCAGUGUUGAAGGGCUCCUUGGAUGCCAAUGACUGGCAAAAAUGAGGU